UUGACAUACAUUUAGGUUAUGUGUGAAGCAGUCCGCUCCAUCUACAAUUAAAUCUGAAAGAGUCUAUAUCUGAAAAACUAAAAUGAUGUUCACCAUUACAUUUAUGCAGCUGUGUUUAUCAAUGUUCUAAUACAUCUGAAAUCUGAAGCAAAAUAUUUAAGAUCUUGCGAAACAAUUAAGAUAUCAUCUACAUAAAUUGAAAGAAGUAAUAUUUUAUCCUCCCUUCGAAUGAUAUGAACACGUUGAUCCGACUGAAUUGGCUGUAUACCAAUUUGUCGUAAUUUUUAUCAAAUCUAAUGUUUCAUUGGCGCCCAACUUGUUUCAAACUGUAAAGGGAUUUUUUUAUAACAAUGACCAAAAGAGACAAAGUUACUGAGCAAAUUUUAACAAAGAGGUCCAAAACCUCUCUGACGAUAACCAAGUGUGGAACAUAUAUAUGAGUUUUUACUCUUAUUAUGAUAAUUUGGUUUUUCAAUAUAUUAUAAAACUGUUA
Long non-coding RNA from Aethina tumida (small hive beetle), 493 nucleotides. RefSeq lists it as uncharacterized. The transcript has 3 exons. The record is from RefSeq and is a predicted model, not a curated record. NCBI's taxonomy places the organism in Eukaryota, Metazoa, Arthropoda, Insecta, Coleoptera, Nitidulidae.